Long non-coding RNA from Hyla sarda, 816 nucleotides. RefSeq lists it as uncharacterized. The transcript is spliced from 3 exons. The record is from RefSeq and is a predicted model, not a curated record. NCBI's taxonomy places the organism in Eukaryota, Metazoa, Chordata, Amphibia, Anura, Hylidae.
UGAAAAGAAAUAGCAUUGAAUAACACACAUGCAAGAACAAAGUAUGCAAAAGAUUAUUCAUAUUUUAAUUUAUCAUAAUAUGACUACCAUGAUGCAAUAGGUUGGUCUCACUACAGAGAUGGAUGAGGAAUGGAUUGUAUGGGAAGCAAAUUUUGGACUGUCAGAAGCACAGAGCACACUAAGAUUUUCCAACAUCUUAUAACGAUUCUCAAUACAAUGACAUGGAAUUGUCACAACCCUCCCACCUGAACAUCUUAUGAUAAAUCAUUCAAUCUAGUGAUUAUUCCAUUAUUAUCUGCGUGAGUCCCGGUCAAUACCACUACAGGCCGGACAUCUGCCGUGCCAGCCCGGGACCCACAGACUGCCGGAGAACCGCUCACCCUCCACACAGACGGGCAGAACAUAAGACGCAGCCGUCCCCAGUACAGGACCCAGCCGCGACAGCCUUACCAGCCCGGGCAGAAGUAUAUCCUGCGGAGGGUGAGUGGUGCUGUGCACCGACCAUCAUUACAAGCGCUACAGUAACACAGCGCUGUUUAAGACAUUCUGCUACCUGGCACUAGCACACCAGUGAACUGUAUCUAAAACUGCACCACCAAUGAACUGAAUACAAAGUAUACAAAAAGUAUACAAAUACAUAAACUGUAUCACCUACAGAUAUAGUACAAUAUUAAGACUGGUGAACCACAAUACUAGGGGAUCAAGUGCAAUGGACAAACUGAAACUUUUGUGAUACUUUUGAGCAUUUUAUUACUUUAUUGCUAAUAUUUUAUUUAUUUUUUAUCUUAUCCCAUUCAUAUUAAAUUAUACUGCCGU